GACGAACGCUGGCGGCGUGCUUAAUACAUGCAAGUCAACUGAACUUGAGGUAGCAAUAUCACAAGAGAGGUGGCGCACGGGUGAGUAACACGUAGGUAAUCUGCCUUUAGGUCUGACAUAAUUCCGCGAAAGCGGGACUAAUAUCAGAUGAUGCAGCGGCUCGACAUCGAGACAGUUGUUAAACCUUCGGGGCCUAAAGAUGAGCCUGCGUCUGAUUAGGUAGUUGGCGGAGUAAAAGCCCACCAAGCCUGCGAUCAGUAGCUGGUCUGAGAGGAUGAUCAGCCACACUGGAACUGAGACACGGUCCAGACUCCUACGGGAGGCAGCAGUAAGGAAUAUUG
RNAcentral lists this ribosomal RNA (341 nucleotides) under uncultured bacterium. Its description in RNAcentral is "bacterial SSU rRNA". It matches the Rfam family "Bacterial small subunit ribosomal RNA", at positions 28 to 366 of the family's 1533-position model. The record is from RNAcentral.